AUUGAACGCUGGCGGCAUGCCUUACACAUGCAAGUCGAACGGCAGCACGGACUUCGGUCUGGUGGCGAGUGGCGAACGGGUGAGUAAUAUAUCGGAACAUACCCUAGAGUGGGGGAUAACGUAGCGAAGUUACGCUAAUACCGCAUACGAACUAAGGUUGAAAGUGGGGGAUCGCAAGACCUCAUGCUCAUGGAGUGGCCGAUAUCUGAUUAGCUAGUUGGUGAGGUAAAGGCUCACCAAGGCGACGAUCAGUAGCUGGUCUGAGAGGACGACCAGCCACACUGGAACUGAGACACGGUCCAGACUCCUACGGGAGGCAGCAGUGGGGAAUUUUGGACAAUGGGGGGCAACCCUGAUCCAGCAAUGCCGCGUGAGUGAAGAAGGCCUUC
RNAcentral lists this ribosomal RNA (389 nucleotides) under uncultured bacterium. RNAcentral's name for it is "bacterial SSU rRNA". It matches the Rfam family "Bacterial small subunit ribosomal RNA", at positions 30 to 419 of the family's 1533-position model. The record is from RNAcentral.